Molecule: non-coding RNA, 1021 nt
Organism: Dermacentor andersoni
Lineage: Eukaryota; Metazoa; Arthropoda; Arachnida; Ixodida; Ixodidae
Source: RefSeq, a predicted model, not a curated record
CGAAGAAGAGCCGUUGCUUUCGCCGCCGCAGUAGCGAGGGCCUUGGCUGUGGCCCAUGUUCCUGAGCCCCGCCGUUGUCUCGGCGACGGUCGCUGAGGCCAGCCGGCCGGACGGCAACAUGUCGCGGCGACAUGAGCAAAAGCAGCCCCUGUGCUAGCCCCGAUGCGCCUCCCGAGCAAGAGAGCGCGGCCGCACCAGAGGAGGCAGCCGCCCAGCCGCCGCCGGCAUGGGCCAGCGAAGCGCUGCAGGGCGAUGUCGUUGUCGACGACGACGGGGUGGUCAUGCUCGCGCCCGCGACCGUGGAGCAAGUGCGGACGGUCACCGUGAGCACGCUGACGCGGGUGCACGGCGCGGAGUACGAGCAGAGGGAACUUCGAAGCACCAGGCGACAAGAGUAAGAGGAGCGAACGCCGCCUGCAGCAGCAGCGGCGGCGUCGUGCCGACGACGCCUACGAAGAGGACGAGCGCGACGACGCAGCAGCUCGCAGCGGCGGGGACGAGGUCCACGAAGACGAAGACGGCGGCUCUUCUUCGCGCCAGUCGCUGCUGCUCUUCGUCGUGGCCACGGCCAUCCUGGUCGUCUGCAUGGUGGCGGGCUUCAUCUCCAUCGCCCUGCUCGAACAGGUCGAGCGGCGCAAAAAACGGGUGUCCAUAGACGCUCCCGACUCUGACUGAGACAACGCGGAGCUCUGAGGCUAUGGCUAAGCGCCGUGCCACGACAGCGAGCCGGUUCACCGCCAGGUGCAGCAACGACCUACCUGGACAAGCGACGUGCAGCGCAGUUGUCGAAGAAUGUCAUAUAGCCACAUCACAGGAGCGCUCCCGAUACAUCAAGGCCGACAGCUCAUAAUGUUGAACUCUUUCCACAGUACUUUUUUUUUAUUUUCUUCGUGUAGCUGUCUUUAUUUUUUUUUCACUUUUUUUAUCGCAAGCUACGUAACGCGCUACGUGGAAUUAAAACCAAUGCUGCAAGCAAGCGUCGACUAACGUCGACCACUUGUGCUUGUUUUCCUCACUCUCA